CUGACGGCCAAACGUUUCCUAGACGUUGUCGUUACUGAUAAGAAACUACAUUUCCCAGAAUGCAGUGAGGGUAGCGACCGGGCUACACAGUAGAAACAGGGUUUCACCAUGUUGGCCAUGCUGGUCUCGAACUCCAGAACUCAAGUGAUCCGUCCGCCUCGGUCUUCCAAACUGCUGGGAUUACAGGCGUGAGCCACCGCGCCCAGCCUUUGGGGAAGUUCUUUUUACCGUCCAUCAUCCAUUGCCACCACACCUUCUGCUUACGAGUUAUUUAUAAUAAGUUUAACUAAAAGAGAACGAGAGAACAUCCCCUGAAACCCAAAGUUUGUCAUUCUAUACAGCUUUCCUGCCUGCAAAAGAGGAGGAGCAGACUCAUCCAGCAAAUCACCUAAAAAGUUUGAAGAUCAAAAAGCCUAGCUCCAGUUUCAGAUCCUUCCCCUACCUUUCUGAACACUAGUUUCUUCCUCUGAAAAACGAAAGAGGGAACGGGACCGUAGAGUGGAGUGGGCACAAGAAUCGCAAGUCCCUUCUGGCUAUGACGCUGCAAGACUCUAGGUACAGUUUAGGACUCCGGGCAUUCAGAUCCCCGGGACUUGUCAAGUUCUCCUCAUUGACAUUUUUGAUAUUUCGUGACAACACAAAUUCAUCACAUUUUUGUGCUGUGUGUUAUAUGUGGGAAGGAGAUUUUAAAAAGAUUGCCUUUUGAAGUUAUUGGAUAGCUGUGUUACAGAAGAAAACAUUGCCUUCAAGAAGUUAUUGGAUAGAUAUGUUACAGAAGAAAAGACGUUUGUUUCAUUUUUGACUUUGCAGGAAAAGAAUAUGUAACACAUCAGAAUUCUUCUCUCCUCCCUGGCCUUAGUCGAGUACCUGAGGGGCAUUAAAGCACUUCCUCCUUGCAAUCACUUACCCAGCAUAGUCCUUAAUACAGAUAUCUUCAUUGUUGAAUGAAUGAAUGAAUGUUCAUUAUGUUUGAUUACCUUAGGUUUACUUUCCAAAAGUGUCUUACUUGAGGAAGACCACAUCUACACAAAAAAAUCAAACUUUAAAACAGAGUAAGAGACCAUUCACACUACAAAUAGAUUCUCGGUUUAUAAAAGAUGUGUUAUAGUGCUCCCAUAAAUAGUGAGGCACUCUUCUGUAUCAGAUGGCACAAAUUUGAUUACAUAUAACUACUAAGUGCUUUUCCGUGGUCUGUGGUUCAUAGUGUGGGUGCCUGUGGUAUGCUAAGGUCUCUAUUUUACUGACAGCCACAGUUAAAAUAUAUUUCUUAAAACCAAAUAAACAGUCCACCAUCACCAGCCAAAUGCUAGGAGAGUGCUGACUGCUAUUUUAGCUGCUUUCUUCUAGGCAGAAUGAAAAGAAAAACAUAAGUUAA
This 1375-nucleotide long non-coding RNA is filed under the name Homo sapiens (human). RNAcentral describes it as "CFAP95 divergent transcript". The record is from RNAcentral. Lineage: Eukaryota; Metazoa; Chordata; Mammalia; Primates; Hominidae.